Molecule: long non-coding RNA, 565 nt
Filed under: Pongo abelii (Sumatran orangutan)
Lineage: Eukaryota; Metazoa; Chordata; Mammalia; Primates; Hominidae
Description: lincRNA
Source: RNAcentral
GCUUUUGUCUCUCGCUGCAGCCAGAGCUUGGGAUCCCUUUCUGCUGUUCAACGUCCUCCACCUCUGCCCCCCUCUCCCCCAAGCCGGUGACAGGCUGUUGCCCUGUGAUCUGCAGGUCCUGGGACGUGCACAGCUAAGAUGCCAGGACAUUCUAGAAGGUGGGAAAGGGCGCCUGUAAUUUCAGCUACUCAGGGGGCUGAGGCAGGAGAAUCGCUUGAACUCGGGAAGCAGACGUUGCAGUGAGCCAAGGUCGCACCACUGCACUCCAGCCCAGGCAACAGUGUGAGACUCCACAUCAAAAAGAAAAAGAAAAAAAGUGUACUAACAAGACCCAGCACACAGAGGAGACUUUUACCAUUAUAUGAACACCCAUCAAACAGUACACAUCAUCAUUGUGAGUUCUGAAUCUCACACAUAGAGGAAGUCAAAGGUGGAAAAAUUGACUCUCAUAGUUGGAUCCAGUCCACAGCUUCUGCUAGCAAGGAAGACUGAGACAUAUUGUGGGGCUCUACGCCAAUGUGACAUUACUGUUUUGCCUUGGCCUGUACCUGAAAAGGCAUUGUGA